Molecule: ribosomal RNA, 253 nt
Filed under: uncultured bacterium
Lineage: Bacteria
Description: partial 16S ribosomal RNA
Rfam family: Bacterial small subunit ribosomal RNA
Source: RNAcentral
UACGUAGGGUGCGAGCGUUAAUCGGAAUUACUGGGCGUAAAGCGCGCGCAGGCGGCUUCGCAAGUCAGACGUGAAAUCCCCGGGCUUAACCUGGGAAUGGCGUUUGAAACUACGGAGCUGGAGUGUGGCAGAGGGAGGUAGAAUUCCACGUGUAGCGGUGAAAUGCGUAGAUAUGUGGAGGAAUACCGAUGGCGAAGGCGGCUUCCUGGGCCGACACUGACGCUCAGGCGCGAAAGCGUGGGGAGCAAACAGG